GGGAGGAUCCUCACCGGAGCCUCUAAGGAGGGGAUCCGCACCCAAAGGUGUUGACUUUGAUGUGGCCGUCGUGCCGACCAGAAGUUUCCUCUAGAUCCACAUCGCCUAUUUUUUGGACUGGAGAUAUGUUGUCAGCAUUUCAAGCAGUUUGCUCGCUCCCAAGGAGAAGGGGUGCCACUUGGCCGGCGAAGUGCUGGCAGCAGGAAGUAUGCCAUCGACAUCAUCGAGAUCCGCUUGAAGGAUGGUCGUUGUCCUCUCCAAGAGGAGGGGCCAGCUCAAGGAGGAUACUACUAUGAGAUGGUCUGAUACAUAGAAGAUGGACUCAAGCCCCUCUAGGGAAGCAUCCACUAUCCCUGUUCUACUGAUUUCGCCGGAACGUCGACCGCCUAUGCUCCGCCUGAGUGAUGACGAAGUGAUGCAUACGGAAACAUGUUCGAUAAGAAUCAGCGUGCCAAUAUGGAAUAUAAGGUGAGUGAGUAUUGUGUAUGCUGAGCCCUCCAAACUUUUUGCAAGGCCUGUAAAACAGUGGAAUGCAACACUAGCAGAAAGGAAGAACUGUAGACUCAAUCAUGGACUACUUGAGUUAACUAUUUGCUCAAUACAUCAAGCACCAGGCCUCUCCUACUCCUGCUCUCAAAAUGGAAAAGGAGAUCAGGCAACUAGGGAUCUGAGUACUGUAAUUUGAUAAAUUUUGUUUUUUGGGUGGCAUGAAAGGGCCACUUUUUCUUAGAAGUGGCUUAUUCUUAGCCAGUCUUUCCAAUUAACACCUUAUUGAUUGGAACAUAAUGAGUAAAUGUAUGUGUGGUUCUUUCUAUUUAAGAGAUUUAGAUGAAAUUAUGGAAGCUACAAACCUCUGUAUCUUAUAAGACCUUUUUUAUACCAAAAAGCUCCUUAUACAUUAAGUUAUUA
Molecule: long non-coding RNA, 909 nt
Organism: Triticum aestivum (bread wheat)
Lineage: Eukaryota; Viridiplantae; Streptophyta; Magnoliopsida; Poales; Poaceae
Exons: 4
Source: RefSeq, a predicted model, not a curated record